This 377-nucleotide ribosomal RNA is filed under the name Escherichia coli. RNAcentral describes it as "partial 16S ribosomal RNA". It matches the Rfam family "Bacterial small subunit ribosomal RNA", at positions 72 to 449 of the family's 1533-position model. Lineage: Bacteria; Pseudomonadati; Pseudomonadota; Gammaproteobacteria; Enterobacterales; Enterobacteriaceae. The record is from RNAcentral. RNAcentral also lists the same sequence under 1 other name.
GAAGCAGCUUGCUGUUUCGCUGACGAGUGGCGGACGGGUGAGUAAUGUCUGGGAAACUGCCUGAUGGAGGGGGAUAACUACUGGAAACGGUAGCUAAUACCGCAUAACGUCGCAAGACCAAAGAGGGGGACCUUCGGGCCUCUUGCCAUCGGAUGUGCCCAGAUGGGAUUAGCUAGUAGGUGGGGUAACGGCUCACCUAGGCGACGAUCCCUAGCUGGUCUGAGAGGAUGACCAGCCACACUGGAACUGAGACACGGUCCAGACUCCUACGGGAGGCAGCAGUGGGGAAUAUUGCACAAUGGGCGCAAGCCUGAUGCAGCCAUGCCGCGUGUAUGAAGAAGGCCUUCGGGUUGUAAAGUACUUUCAGCGGGGAGGAA